RNAcentral lists this ribosomal RNA (968 nucleotides) under uncultured Actinomycetes bacterium. RNAcentral describes it as "bacterial SSU rRNA". It matches the Rfam family "Bacterial small subunit ribosomal RNA", at positions 510 to 1472 of the family's 1533-position model. Lineage: Bacteria; Bacillati; Actinomycetota; Actinomycetes. The record is from RNAcentral.
AGCAGCCGCGGUAAUACGUAGGGCGCAAGCGUUUUCCGGAAUAUUGGGCGUAAAGAGCUCGUAGGCGGUUUGUCGCGUCUGCCGUGAAAGUCCGGGGCUCAACUCCGGAUCUGCGGUGGGUACGGGCAGACUAGAGUGAUGUAGGGGAGACUGGAAUUCCUGGUGUAGCGGUGAAAUGCGCAGAUAUCAGGAGGAACACCGAUGGCGAAGGCAGGUCUCUGGGCAUUAACUGACGCUGAGGAGCGAAAGCAUGGGGAGCGAACAGGAUUAGAUACCCUGGUAGUCCAUGCCGUAAACGUUGGGCACUAGGUGUGGGGGACAUUCCACGUUUUCCGCGCCGUAGCUAACGCAUUAAGUGCCCCGCCUGGGGAGUACGGCCGCAAGGCUAAAACUCAAAGGAAUUGACGGGGGCCCGCACAAGCGGCGGAGCAUGCGGAUUAAUUCGAUGCAACGCGAAGAACCUUACCAAGGCUUGACAUGGACCGGACCGCCGCAGAAAUGUGGUUUCCCCUUUGGGGCCGGUUCACAGGUGGUGCAUGGUUGUCGUCAGCUCGUGUCGUGAGAUGUUGGGUUAAGUCCCGCAACGAGCGCAACCCUCGUUCUAUGUUGCCAGCGCGUGAUGGCGGGGACUCAUAGGAGACUGCCGGGGUCAACUCGGAGGAAGGUGGGGACGACGUCAAAUCAUCAUGCCCCUUAUGUCUUGGGCUUCACGCAUGCUACAAUGGCCGGUACAAAGGGUUGCGAUACUGUGAGGUGGAGCUAAUCCCAAAAAGCCGGUCUCAGUUCGGAUUGGGGUCUGCAACUCGACCCCAUGAAGUCGGAGUCGCUAGUAAUCGCAGAUCAGCAACGCUGCGGUGAAUACGUUCCCGGGCCUUGUACACACCGCCCGUCAAGUCACGAAAGUUGGUAACACCCGAAGCCGGUGGCCUAACCCCUUGUGGGAGGGAGCUGUCGAAGGUGGGGCUGGA